GAGGGGAGAGGCAAGCGUUAUCCGGAAUUAUUGGGCGUAAAGCGUCCGCAGGUGGCGAUUCAAGUCUGCUGUCAAAGGUCGGGGCUUAACCCCGGGAAGGCAGUGGAAACUGAAUAGUUAGAGUGCGGUAGGGGCAGAGGGAAUUCCCGGUGUAGCGGUGAAAUGCGAAGAGACCGGGAAGAACACCAGUGGCGAAAGCGCUCUGCUGGGCCUGCACUGACACUGAGGGACGAAAGCUAGGGGAGCGAAAGGG
RNAcentral lists this ribosomal RNA (253 nucleotides) under uncultured bacterium. Its description in RNAcentral is "partial 16S ribosomal RNA". It matches the Rfam family "Bacterial small subunit ribosomal RNA", at positions 524 to 776 of the family's 1533-position model. The record is from RNAcentral.